CGCAUCUGUGCAUGCAGCAUAUCAAUAAGCGGAGGAAAAGAAACUAACAAGGAUUCCCUUAGUAACGGCGAGUGAAGCGGGAAGAGCUCAAAUUUGAAAUCUUCAAGGUUUUACCUUGACGAAUUGUAGUUUAAAGAAGUGUUUUCUGUUGAAGUUUUGGUAAAAGUUCUUUGGAAUAGGACAUCAUAGAGGGUGAGAAUCCCGUAUUUGACCAUUAUUUUCAGCUGUGUGAUACACUUUCAAAGAGUCGGAUUGUUUGGGAAUGCAGUCCAAAAUGGGUGGUAAAUUUCAUCUAAAGCUAAAUAUUGGCGAGAGACCGAUAGCGAACAAGUACCGUGAGGGAAAGAUGAAAAGAACUUUGAAAAGAGAGUUAAACAGUACGUGAAAUUGUCAAAAGGGAAGCGUUUGACACCAGUGUUGUUUUCUCGAAAAUCAAUUAAAAAGAGUUUGAUUUUGUUGUGUAUUGACCUUAACAGCUUGCAUUUCAAUUUUCUUGCUUUUUUUAAUGCACUUUUCGUUUAACAAGUCAACAUCAGUUUCUUUUGUUGUGAAAAGGUCAUUGGAAGGUGGCUUUCUUUUCGGAGAAAGUGUUUAUAGCCUUUGACUCCUGCAAUCGGAGAGACUGAGGUCUGCAGCGUAGAUCCUUCGGGGUUAGAUACAUUUGUGCUAAGUUAUAGCUUUUUAUAGACAACUUGUUGACUAUGAUUAGUCUUGUAGCUUACUCGCUUAUGCUAUUUUACCUACGCUUAGGAUGUUGAUGUAAUACUGCGAGCA
Molecule: ribosomal RNA, 774 nt
Filed under: uncultured Neocallimastigales
Lineage: Eukaryota; Fungi; Neocallimastigomycota; Neocallimastigomycetes; Neocallimastigales
Description: partial large subunit ribosomal RNA
Rfam family: Eukaryotic large subunit ribosomal RNA
Source: RNAcentral